This is a long non-coding RNA of Cyprinus carpio (common carp), 326 nucleotides long. RefSeq lists it as uncharacterized. The record is from RefSeq and is a predicted model, not a curated record. NCBI's taxonomy places the organism in Eukaryota, Metazoa, Chordata, Actinopteri, Cypriniformes, Cyprinidae. The transcript has 3 exons.
AGAAACGAAACUCUACUGUACAUAAAUAGGAGGAGAGAGAAGAAGAAAUUUAAGACUGAAAAGCAGAAUCCAGGAGUGAUACCUCCGUCAAGCCUCUCACGCCAUGGGUGCUGCGCUCUUCAGUCCACUCUCAAGUUUACUAGCCGACACAACCACAAUGAUUACACCCCGUGGACAUCUCUCGCCACUUUCAGUGCCCCAUGUGCAAAAACCUGCUGACAGAUCCAGUCUCCACCACCUGUGGACACACCUUCUGCAAGGACUGUCUGGACAAGCACAUCAGCAGGUCUGAGCCGCAGUGCCCUCUCUGCCAGGAGCCCGUGACC